GGGCACAUAGUAUAACGGAUAGUACGCGACCCCGCGGAGGUUGUAAUCAGGGUUCGAUUCCCUGUGUGCCCA
RNAcentral lists this transfer RNA (72 nucleotides) under Nanobdellota archaeon. RNAcentral describes it as "tRNA-Arg". It matches the Rfam family "tRNA". Rfam says of the family: Transfer RNA (tRNA) molecules are approximately 80 nucleotides in length. Their secondary structure includes four short double-helical elements and three loops (D, anti-codon, and T loops). Further hydrogen bonds mediate the characteristic L-shaped molecular structure. tRNAs have two regions of fundamental functional importance: the anti-codon, which is responsible for specific mRNA codon recognition, and the 3' end, to which the tRNAs corresponding amino acid is attached (by aminoacyl-tRNA synthetases). tRNAs cope with the degeneracy of the genetic code in two manners: having more than one tRNA (with a specific anti-codon) for a particular amino acid; and 'wobble' base-pairing, i.e. permitting non-standard base-pairing at the 3rd anti-codon position. The record is from RNAcentral. RNAcentral also lists the same sequence under 1 other name. Lineage: Archaea; Nanobdellati; Nanobdellota.